This 468-nucleotide ribosomal RNA is filed under the name uncultured bacterium. RNAcentral's name for it is "partial 16S ribosomal RNA". It matches the Rfam family "Bacterial small subunit ribosomal RNA", at positions 28 to 507 of the family's 1533-position model. The record is from RNAcentral.
GACGAACGCUGGCGGCGUGCUUAACACAUGCAAGUCGAACGGAAAGGCCCUGCUUUGGUGGGGUGCUCGAGUGGCGAACGGGUGAGUAACACGUGAGUAACCUGCCCUUGACUUUGGGAUAACUUCAGGAAACUGGGGCUAAUACCGGAUAGGAGCUCCUGCUGCAUGGUGGGGGUUGGAAAGUUUCGGCGGUUGGGGAUGGACUCGCGGCUUAUCAGCUUGUUGGUGGGGUAGUGGCUUACCAAGGCUUUGACGGGUAGCCGGCCUGAGAGGGUGACCGGCCACAUUGGGACUGAGCUACGGCCCAGACUCCUACGGGAGGCAGCAGUGGGGAAUAUUGCACAAUGGGCGGAAGCCUGAUGCAGCAACGCCGCGUGCGGGAUGACGGCCUUCGGGUUGUAAACCGCUUUCGCCUGUGACGAAGCGUGAGUGACGGUAAUGGGUAAAGAAGCACCGGCUAACUACGUG